Molecule: long non-coding RNA, 431 nt
Organism: Lycium barbarum (goji berry)
Lineage: Eukaryota; Viridiplantae; Streptophyta; Magnoliopsida; Solanales; Solanaceae
Exons: 3
Source: RefSeq, a predicted model, not a curated record
UUCACUUCAUCACUUAGCACAAAACAAGAAAAUAGAGAGUUCCCAACCCCCACUGUUUUCGGCCCAACCUUAGGAAAACCAAAUCAAAUUCUAGCUUCCCAAAAAUUAUUUCCUUGGUGUUAACCCACUAUAUUGAGGUCCCUAAGUAGCGUGGAAGAGUUGUUCGGGUCAUCCAACCAUUAGUUGUACCCAUUUGCAAACCCUAACUAUUUGGUGGAUUGAAGAAGAAAGAUCGUGGGCAGCCCGAAUCAUAGUUUGGACUUAGCUUGAGUUGGAUCAUAUUGGAGAGCGUUUGAGGUACGGACGCACAGCCUGGUGAUCCACCUGUUUAGGACACCCUUUCUGCUAUUCGGAGUGCUCCUCUCUUUCCGGAGCUUAUACUUUUGGUAUAUAUAUUUUUAUUAGUGCAUUUGUAUAUAUUCGUUCAUGGG